Molecule: ribosomal RNA, 253 nt
Filed under: uncultured bacterium
Lineage: Bacteria
Description: partial 16S ribosomal RNA
Rfam family: Bacterial small subunit ribosomal RNA
Source: RNAcentral
UACAGAGGUCUCAAGCGUUGUUCGGAUUCAUUGGGCGUAAAGGGUGUGUAGGUGGCGCGCUAAGUCGGGUGUGAAAUUUCGGAGCUUAACUCCGAAACUGCAUUCGAUACUGGCGUGCUUGAGGACUGGAGAGGAGACUGGAAUUUACGGUGUAGCAGUGAAAUGCGUAGAUAUCGUAAGGAACACCAGUGGCGAAAGCGGCUUCCUGGUCCAGCACCGACAUUCAGGCACGAAAGCGUGGGGAGCAAACAGG